GGAUGCAAUCAUACCUGCACUAAUGCACCAGAUCCCAUCGAAACUCCGAAGUUAAGCGUGCUUGGGAGAGAGUAGUACUAGGAUGGGCGAACCCCUAGGAAGUCCACGUGUUGCAUCCC
Molecule: ribosomal RNA, 119 nt
Organism: Lycium barbarum (goji berry)
Lineage: Eukaryota; Viridiplantae; Streptophyta; Magnoliopsida; Solanales; Solanaceae
Source: RefSeq, a predicted model, not a curated record